This 878-nucleotide ribosomal RNA is filed under the name uncultured bacterium. RNAcentral's name for it is "bacterial SSU rRNA". It matches the Rfam family "Bacterial small subunit ribosomal RNA", at positions 504 to 1387 of the family's 1533-position model. The record is from RNAcentral.
CGCGCCAGCAGCCGCGGUAAUACGGAGGAUCCGAGCGUUAUCCGGAUUUAUUGGGUUUAAAGGGAGCGUAGGCGGACGCUUAAGUCAGUUGUGAAAGUUUGCGGCUCAACCGUAAAAUUGCAGUUGAUACUGGGUGUCUUGAGUACAGUAGAGGCAGGCGGAAUUCGUGGUGUAGCGGUGAAAUGCUUAGAUAUCACGAAGAACUCCGAUUGCGAAGGCAGCCUGCUGGACUGUAACUGACGCUGAUGCUCGAAAGUGUGGGUAUCAAACACGAUUAGAUACCCUGGUAGUCCACACAGUAAACGAUGAAUACUCGCUGUUUGCGAUAUACAGUAAGCGGCCAAGCGAAAGCGUUAAGUAUUCCACCUGGGGAGUACGCCGGCAACGGUGAAACUCAAAGGAAUUGACGGGGGCCCGCACAAGCGGAGGAACAUGUGGUUUAAUUCGAUGAUACGCGAGGAACCUUACCCGGGCUUGAAUUGCAACUGAAUGAUGUGGAGACAUGUCAGCCGCAAGGCAGUUGUGAAGGUGCUGCAUGGUUGUCGUCAGCUCGUGCCGUGAGGUGUCGGCUUAAGUGCCAUAACGAGCGCAACCCUUAUCGAUAGUUACCAUCAGGUGAUGCUGGGGACUCUGUCGAGACUGCCGUCGUAAGAUGUGAGGAAGGUGGGGAUGACGUCAAAUCAGCACGGCCCUUACGUCCGGGGCUACACACGUGUUACAAUGGGGGGUACAGAAGGCAGCUACACGGCGACGUGAUGCUAAUCCCUAAAGCCUCUCUCAGUUCGGAUUGGAGUCUGCAACCCGACUCCAUGAAGCUGGAUUCGCUAGUAAUCGCGCAUCAGCCACGGCGCGGUGAAUACGUUCCCGGGCCUUGCACU